AAUAUUGCACAAUGGGCGCAAGCCUGAUGCAGCCAUGCCGCGUGUAUGAAGAAGGCCUUCGGGUUGUAAAGUACUUUCAGCAGUGAGGAAGGUGGGUAUGUUAAUAGCAUAUUCAUUUGACGUUAGCUGCAGAAGAAGCACCGGCUAACUCCGUGCCAGCAGCCGCGGUAAUACGGAGGGUGCGAGCGUUAAUCGGAAUUACUGGGCGUAAAGCGCAUGCAGGUGGUUUGUUAAGUCAGAUGUGAAAGCCCGGGCUCAACCUCGGAAUUGCAUUUGAAACUGGCAAACUAGAGUACUGUAGAGGGGGUAGAAUUUCAGGUGUAGCGGUGAAAUGCGUAGAGAUCUGAAGGAAUACCGGUGGCGAAGGCGGCCCCCUGGACAGAUACUGACACUCAGAUGCGAAAGCGUGGGGAGCAAACAGGAUUAGAUACCCUGGUAG
Molecule: ribosomal RNA, 439 nt
Filed under: uncultured bacterium
Lineage: Bacteria
Description: bacterial SSU rRNA
Rfam family: Bacterial small subunit ribosomal RNA
Source: RNAcentral